Molecule: ribosomal RNA, 524 nt
Filed under: uncultured bacterium
Lineage: Bacteria
Description: partial 16S ribosomal RNA
Rfam family: Bacterial small subunit ribosomal RNA
Source: RNAcentral
UGGGGAAUAUUGCACAAUGGGCGAAAGCCUGAUGCAGCAACGCCGCGUGAGUGAUGAAGGCCUUCGGGUUGUGAAGCUCUGUCUUUUGGGACGAUAAUGACGGUACCAAAGGAGGAAGCCACGGCUAACUACGUGCCAGCAGCCGCGGUAAUACGUAGGUGGCAAGCGUUGUCCGGAUUUACUGGGCGUAAAGGAUGCGUAGGCGGAUUUUUAAGCGAGAUGUGAAAACCCUAAGCUUAACUUGGGGACUGCAUUUCAUACUGGAAAUCUAGAGUGCGGGAGAGGAGAAUGGAAUUCCUAGUGUAGCGGUGAAAUGCGUAGAGAUUAGGAAGAACACCAGUGGCGAAGGCGAUUCUCUGGACCGUAACUGACGCUGAGGCAUGAAAGCGUGGGUAGCAAACAGGAUUAGAUACCCUGGUAGUCCACGCCGUAAACGAUGAGUACUAGGUGUAGGAGGUAUCGACCCCUUCUGUGCCGCAGUUAACACAAUAAGUACUCCGCCUGGGAAGUACGAUCGCAAGAUU